Molecule: long non-coding RNA, 365 nt
Organism: Oncorhynchus tshawytscha (Chinook salmon)
Lineage: Eukaryota; Metazoa; Chordata; Actinopteri; Salmoniformes; Salmonidae
Exons: 2
Source: RefSeq, a predicted model, not a curated record
CAGUAGGGUGCUUGUCAUCUGUAACAUGUUAAGCCUUACCACCCACAGAGUGGUACGGACACAGUAGGGUGCUUGUCAUCUGUAACAUGUUAAGCCUUACCACCCACAGAGUGGUACGGACACAGUAGGGUGCUUGUCAUCUGUAACAUGUUAAGCCUUACCACCCACAGAGUGGUACGGACACAGUAGGGUGCUUGUCAUCUGUAACAUGUUAAGCCUUACCACCCACAGAGUGGGUACGGACACAGUAGGGUGCUUGUCAUCUGUAACAUGUUAAGCCUUACCACCCACAGAGUGGUACGGACACAGUAGGGUGCUUGUCAUCUGUAACAUGUUAAGCCUUACCACCCACAGAGUGGUACGGA